UCAUAGUUAGUGUUAUAGUUAAGAGGGGUUCAGGGAUUAGCCCCUUCCCCGCACCCGGUGCCGGGGCCCAUGCCUGGUUCACCGAGUUUCAAACCGUGCUCGGCCUGUUGCAAGCCGAUGCCGACAGGAGAUCUACACAACUCCUGUCUUAAGUGCCUCGGGGAAUCUCACCUAGCAGAUAAGUGUCGCAUUUGCAAGGCCUUUAAGCCUAGAACAAAAAAGGAGCGAGACUUUCGGCUAACACAGCUCCUCAUGGAGGCGGCUCUUACCCCUCCGCCUUCGGCACCUAGCACUGGACAAUCGGCGGGCAGAAGUGCCUCCUCGGCAUCGGACCACGCCAGUACUGCCAAGGCCUCUCGCCACCAGCCGUCGCCGGCACCGAAGUCAACUCGGCACCGCUCCCUUUCCCCGGGUCGAGAAAGCCUAAGACUCCUGCUGCUGCCAUGCCACCUGCACCGCAGUCAGAGAGCUCGUCUGAGUCGGAUCGCCCAGCACUGACACCUGCCGUGGCACCGACGAUGUCGGCAGCGUCGAUUUCGGUCCCACAAGGGCCGUAAAGUCCGGUGCCUGUCAGCUCCCCGGCGUGAGCCGUGGUUUAGCUUACUAUUCGAUCCACACCGGAGACAUUCUCAAUGGCGAGGGAUCUGAUUGCCAUGACAGAGUCAACGCUGCCUCAUCCCCCAGCACCACCAGUGCGGGUAAUUCAGUCUAUCGGCAAGCCUGCCUUGAUAAGACAAUCCUCUGUCGGCACAGCAGAGCGGCACUGUUCACGAUCACGGUCCCGCAAACGUUCUAGGUCGCAUCAGCGCUCCCGCUCCUGACGCUGCUCACAGUCCUGGCACCGUUCUCCUCACCGGUACCGGUCACACUCGCGGCACCGUUCAGUAUCCCGUUCGCCGGCCUGCUAUUCCCGGCACCGCUCCAGGCACCCUGACUCCCGUAGCCGCUCCCGACGUCGAGCCUCGAGAUCUCGGUCGACCUCUUGGUACUGCUCCGGUCGCAGGUCCCGCUCUCGUUCCCGGUACCAGUAUGCCUCCCGGUACCGGUCCCCGAUGCCGAGUAGAGCAAGGUCCGCUAGAGACAGAGACUCUACCCAGGGCUUUUCAGCCCCUCCAUGACCAUCCAGACACACAUCAGUGUCCUCCCACGCGGACAGCUCUUACGCACAGGACCGCAAUUCUGAUGUGCCCACCAGAGUCUUCCAAGAGAUCCAGGCCCAGGACCAAGGACUCCAUCAGUGGUCAUUCUGGACACCUUGGGCGUACCACCAGGCCCAAGGCAUACCAGUAGUUCCGUCCUGCUCUGUCCAUCAGAGCACCGAGUGCCAGAGGUGACGGUUAGCCGUCCCCCUCCGACUGCUACAGAGGAAGCCCCAGUUCACCCACCAGACUCCCAGGUUCCACUGGAGCAGGAGGUCGCCCAGGAGCAAGAGGCCACACAGGGCCCGCUUGUCCCCGGCAACUCCUCUUCCUCUUCUCCAGAUGAGGCGGUGGCAGGAACAUCCUCCUCGGACCCUCCUCCAGUCGACCUGAGAGCCCAUCAGGACCUCCUUAGGAAGGUAGCUCUCACUAUGAACCUCCAGGUGUAGGAGGUCCCGGAGGUAGAGGACAUUCUGUCGGCGGAUGCCCCCACUAGAGUGGCCCUACUGUUUAUUCAGACCGUCCAGGCCAGUGCCGAUACUAUAUGGCAGUCUCCAGCCUCUCUCCGUCCUGCGGCCAGGGGAGUCGAGCAUAAAUAUAUGAUGCCCUCUAAAGGGUACAAAUACUUGUAUGUCCAUCCUCGUCCCUGCUCAUUAGUCAUCUAGUCUGUUAAUGAGAGGGAACGCCAUGACCAGCAGGCACCAGCCCCAAAAUCGAAGGAGGCUAGGCGAAUGGACUUACUCGGCCGCAAAGUGUACUCGGCAGGAGCCCUACAGCUCCGGGUGACAAAUCAACAAGCUUUGCUUAGCCGCUAUAAUUGUAACACCCGGGUGGCGGAGGGUAAGUUUACGGAGCUUCUCCCUCAAGACUCCCGCCAAGAGUUCGCUGCCCUCUUGGAGGAAGGGAAAAAGGUGGCCAGAACUUCCCUCCAGACCUCAUUGGAUGCAGCCGACUCAGCAGCCAGGACUCCGGCCUCGGGUGUUGCCAUGAGGCGCAUCUCAUGGCUUCAGGUGUCAAACCACCCACCGGAGCUGCAGUAUACCAUUCAGGACUUGCCAUUUGAUGGUAAAGGCCUCUUCUCAGAAAAGAUUGACCCCAGGCUGCAAAGGCCUGAAGGACAACAGGGUCAUCAUGCGCUCUCUCAGCAUGCAUACACCGGUGACCCAACGCAGGCCUUUCCGUCCCCAGCCUCACUGCCCAUACUCUGCUCCUAGACAAAGACAGGACUUUGGCAGGCGUCGCGGCCAAGAUGGUUGCAGACAACCAUCAGGACCCCAAGGGGGCCAAAAUCAAGGUCCCUUGAAACCACCACCGGGACCAAAGACAAACUUUUGAAGGUGCGCCUGAGGGCAGCAUACCAGUUACAGGCCAGGAUCCCUCUCCUCCCUUCUCCAACCAUCUCUCCUACUUCCUCCCGGCAUGGUCCCAGUUAACUUCAGAUCGCUGGGUCCUACGCACGGUGGAGUAUGAGUACCACCUCCAAUUUAUUUCAACCAAGCCCUCCCACCCUCCAACCCUAUCCCUCUUCAGGGACCCCUCUCACGAGCAAUUCCUCUUACAAGAAGUGCGGACGCUCCUUGCCAUCAGAGCUAUAGAGGAGGUACCAAUGGACGAAAGGGGCAAUGGGUUUUACUCCCAUUAUUUCCUAAUCCCCAAGUCGAAGGGAGGUCUCAGACCUAUCCUAGACCUGCGAGGACUCAACCAGUUUAUGAUAAAGUUGAAGUUCUGCAUGGUAUCCCUGGGGACCAUUAUCCCGUCCUUGGAUCCUGGAGACUGGUAUGCCGCCCUUGAUAUGAAGGACGCAUACUUUCACAUCGCCAUUUUUCCUCCACACAGGAGAUACCUCCGCUUUGUAGCCAACCGUCAGGACUUCCAGUUUACGGUCCUGCCGUUUGGCCUUUCUACAGCCCAAAGUGUAUUUACAAAGUGUAUGGCCGUAGUUGCCGCCUACCUCCGCCUACGUCGGAUACACGUUUUUCCAUAUCUAGAUGAUUGACUCAUCCGAGGGGCCUCCAAGACACAAGUCGCUCAGCAUGUGGGCAUCGUCAAGGACCUAUUCACACAUCUAGGCCUGAUGAUCAAUAUAGAAAAAUCCACUCUGGUUCCCACGCAGAGGCUAGACUUCAUAGGAGUUAUCCUGGACUCCAGUCUAGCCAGAGCCUGCUUACCACAACCGCGGUUUCAGGCGAUGGCAGCAAUCAUCCGAGGUCUACAGAAUUUCUCAACGACCUCGGCUCGCACUUGUCUCUGUCUCCUGGGUCACAUGGCUGCCUGCAUGUUUGUAACCAAACACGCCAGACUUCGCCUCCGUCCUCUCCAAGUUUGGCUCAACUCGGUAUACCGCCCGGGCAGGGACCCAAUAGACACGAUAGUCACCAUUCCCCCGAGCACCCUAGGCUCCCUAGAAUGGUGGCUAACUCCCUCCCUGGUGUGUACAGGGCUGCCGUUCCAUCCGCCCCAACCCUCAAUGUCCCUGACGACGGACACGUCAUCUCUCAGCUGGGGUGCUCACCUUGGACACCUUCGUACUCAAGGCCUCUGGUCAUCUCAGGAGCUGGCAUUACACAUAAAUGUCCGAGAACUGAGAGAAGUUCGCCUGGAAUGCCAGGCGUUCCAGCAACAGUUACAAGGCUGUUGUGUCUCAGUGUUUACAGACAACACAACGGCCAUGUACUACAUAAACAAACACGGAGGGACACGAUCCUCCCCCCUUUGUCAGGAGGCCAUCCAACUCUGGGACUUUUGCAUAGCCCACUCGAUAGAUCUGGUAGCGUCCUUUCUCCCAGGCUUUCGGAACACUCUGGCGGAUCGACUCAGCAGGUCUUUCCUGUCUCACGAGUGGUCAAUCCACCCAGACGUUAUUCAUUCUGUUUUCCGGAAGUGGGGAUUUCCCCACAUAGACCUGUUCACUUCCCGCACGAACAGGAAAUGCCAGAUGUUCUGCUCCUUCCAAGGUUUCUCCCUGGGAUCGGUCUCGGACGCUUUCCUGAUGCCGUGGAAGAGCCAGCUCCUUUAUGACUUCCCACCAUUCCCGCUGGUUCACAAGGUCCUGCUAAAACUCCGCAGGGACAGAGCGCGCCUCAUCAUGAUCGCUCCAGCGUGGCCCAGGCAGCACCCAUAUACCACGUUGCUCGACCUGUUGAUAGCCAACCCAACUACUCUGCCACUCCACCCAGACCCCAUAACUCAGGACCACGGCAGACUUCGCCACCCAGACCUGCAGGCCCUUCACCUCACGGUGUGGCUGCUGCGUUGCUAAACCCGUCAGAGUUACGUUGCUCUGCAUCAGUACGACAAGUUCUCCUGGGUAGCAGGAAACCUUCAACCUGGUCAAUGUAUCUGGCCAAGUGGAAGCAUUUCUCCUGCUGGUGUGAAACGCUUAAUCUUACUCCCACUGAGGUCUCGAUCCCCUCUAUUUUGGACUACCUCUGGUCUCUCAAACAGUAGGGCCUAGCAGUAUCAUCACUGAGGGUACACUUAGCAGCUAUCUCUACCUUCCACCCAGGUGAAGGUGGCCGUUCCGUGUUCUCACACUCUAUUGUUUCGAGGUUCCUCAAGGGCUUGGAGCGCUUAUACCCCAAAGUAUGUCGCCCAGCCCCGACCUGGGACCUCAACUUGGUUUUAACCAGACUUAUGUCUCCCCCAUUCGAGCCAUUAGCAACCUGCUUGCUACUAUACCUGUCUUGGAAGACAGCUUUCCUUGUAGCCAUUACAUCUGCCGUACACUGUUCCACAAGGACAAGGUGCAGUUGCGACCACACCCGGCAUUCCUCCCUAAGGUGGUUUUGGCCUUUCAUGUUAACCAGGACAUCUUUCUCCCGGUCUUCUUCCCGAAGCCACACUCAACGCGACGGGAGCAACAAUUGCACUCCCUGGACGUCCAUAGAGCGCUAGCAUUUUAUAUUGAGCGGACAAAACCCUUUCGUAAAACGCCACAACUCUGUCGCAAUAGCAGACCAAAUGAAAGGCCUACCUGUUUCCUCUCAGAGGAUCUCAUCUUGGGAGACAGCGUGCAUCCGCACUUGUUAUGACUUGGCUCAUAUUUCCCCAAGCCACAUCACCGCGCAUUCUAUCAGGGCUCAGGUUUCAUUUGCCGCCUUCCUGGCUCAUGUACCUAUCCAGGAGAUAUGUCGCGCAGCUACCUGGUCUUCGGUCCACACCUUUUUUUCACAUUAUGCUCUGGUUCAACAGUCCAGAGAUGAUGCAGCCUUUGGCUCAGCAGUUUUGCAUUCUGCAACAUCUCACUCCGACCCCACCGCCUAGGUAAGGCUUGGGAAUCACCUAAUUGGAAUGGAUAUGAGCAAGCACUCGAAGAAGAAAAGACGGUUACUCACUUUUGUAACUGUUGUUCUUUGAGAUGUGUUGCUCAUAUCCAUUUUAAACCUGCCCUCCUUCCCCACUGUCGGAGUAGCCGGCAAGAAGGAACUGAGGGGCGGUUGGGUCAGCAGGGGUAUAUAUCCAGCGCCAUAGUGGCGCCACUCCAGGGGGUGCCCAGCCAACCCACCAAGUGUUGCUAGGGUAAAAAUCUUCCGACAAACGUGCACGCGGCGCGCGCACACCUAACUGGAAAGGAUAUGAGCAACACAUCUCGAAGAACAACAGUUACAAAGAUGAGUAACCGUUUUUUCCCCCUUCCCAGGUGACCCACAGCAGUGAGAUAUCUUCCAGGAUUAACUCCUGUGGAAAAUGUUGGAAGAGUGUUCAGUGUAGGUGUCCCCUGCAGCUGUUUGCUUUCCCCAACGCACAGAAACCCCAGCACAGCCCUGAAGCAAUCAUUCCCCCUUCCCAGCUGCCCGUGUCAUCAACAGCUCAAAGACUCCAAAACCUGCGGAAGAAGCCACGAAAAAGCAAAGACGACAUGCUGCAAGCAGUUAUGGAUCACUCUGCCAGAGAGAAUAAAAGACUGCAGGACUGGAGGGAAAGGGAAAGCAGGAUCUGCCAGAGAAAUGCAGCGGCCAGGAAGAAAAGCACAAAGCAGCUGAUAAGCAUCCUGGCGCUCCAAGUGGACUCUAUCCAGGCGCUCGUAGCCAUGCAGGCAGAGCACUACCGCGCCAGCCUGCCCCCUCGUGCCAAAGCUCUUUCCCUUGUGCCCCAAUGUCAGCUCCAAAACCCCUUCCCCAGCGUCCAGGUUCUUACCUCCACCAGCUGCCUCCAACACCUGUAUGUUCACCAACCAGCCCUGAGAACUACGACCCUUAGCCUCUGCACUCAAUCCCCAUCACUAUGCAGUAUAGGCAUCCUGAAGUGCAGCAGUCAUUGCACAGCACUCCAGACAGGACAUAUUCAAACCUGUGACUGUACAGUUCCCCACCGCAUCCCCCUACCUUUUUAGGUUCCCAAAAUGUUGUGUCUGUCAAUAAAGUUAUUUUCUUUUCAAUAAAUGAA
Gopherus flavomarginatus (Mexican gopher tortoise) is the source of this 6524-nucleotide RNA transcript. It is a transcript of the gene named zinc finger and SCAN domain-containing protein 20-like, with no coding region annotated. NCBI's taxonomy places the organism in Eukaryota, Metazoa, Chordata, Testudines, Testudinidae. The transcript has 2 exons. The record is from RefSeq and is a predicted model, not a curated record.